RNAcentral lists this ribosomal RNA (460 nucleotides) under uncultured bacterium. RNAcentral's name for it is "partial 16S ribosomal RNA". It matches the Rfam family "Bacterial small subunit ribosomal RNA", at positions 338 to 795 of the family's 1533-position model. The record is from RNAcentral.
CCUACGGGUGGCUGCAGUGAGGAAUAUUGGUCAAUGGACGAGAGUCUGAACCAGCCAAGUAGCGUGAAGGAUGACUGCCCUAUGGGUUGUAAACUUCUUUUAUAAAGGAAUAAAACGAGGCACGUGUGCCUUUUUGCAUGUACUUUAUGAAUAAGGAUCGGCUAACUCCGUGCCAGCAGCCGCGGUAAUACGGAGGAUCCGAGCGUUAUCCGGAUUUAUUGGGUUUAAAGGGAGCGUAGAUGGGUUGUUAAGUCAGUUGUGAAAGUUUGCGGCUCAACCGUAAAAUUGCAAUUGAUACUGCCUUGCUGGAAUGCGGAUGCCGUGGGAGGAAUGUGUGGUGUAGCGGUGAAAUGCAUAGAUAUCACACAGAACACCGAUUGCGAAGGCAUCUCACGAAUCCGCGAUUGACGCUGAUGCACGAAAGCGUGGGUAUCAAACAGGAUUAGAUACCCUAGUAGUC